This 396-nucleotide ribosomal RNA is filed under the name uncultured bacterium. Its description in RNAcentral is "bacterial SSU rRNA". It matches the Rfam family "Bacterial small subunit ribosomal RNA", at positions 505 to 898 of the family's 1533-position model. The record is from RNAcentral.
GUGUCAGCAGCCGCGGUAAUACGGAGGGGGCGAGCGUUGUCCGAAUUUAUUGGGCGUAAAGCGCGUGUAGGCGGAUGGGAAAGCCUGGGGUGAAAGGUUGGAGCUCAACUCCAUACAGUGCCCUGGGGACUUCUUGUCUGGAGGCAGGCAGGGGAUCGUGGAAUUCCUGGUGUAGCGGUGGAAUGCGUAGAGAUCAGGAAGAACACCCGUGGCGAAGGCGGCGAUCUGGGCCUGUGCUGACGCUGAGACGCGAAAGCGUGGGGAGCGAACGGGAUUAGAUACCCCGGUAGUCCACGCUGUAAACGAUGGAUGCUCGGUGUCGGGGGUAUCGACCCCCUCGGCGCCCAAGGUAACCCGGUAAGCAUCCCGCCUGGGGAGUACGGCCGCAAGGUUGAA